This 250-nucleotide unclassified non-coding RNA is filed under the name plant metagenome. RNAcentral's name for it is "partial contains small subunit ribosomal RNA, internal transcribed spacer 1, and 5.8S ribosomal RNA". The record is from RNAcentral.
GUAGGUGAACCUGCGGAAGGAUCAUUACCGAGUAAGGGUCACAAGGCCCAAACCUCCAACCCCCCUUGUAUACCAACAAACCGUUCCUUCGACAGGAUCCAGGCCGUGGUGGGGGCCGCUCCAUGAGCGGCCCCCUCCCCGACCCAUCCCCUUCCUCCCGGAAGGGGGCCUGUCAGAAGACCAAUAAACUCCAGUUAUCAUGCAUGUCUGAGUCCACAUAUAAUAAAUCAAAACUUUCAACAACGGAUCU